Molecule: ribosomal RNA, 440 nt
Filed under: uncultured bacterium
Lineage: Bacteria
Description: partial 16S ribosomal RNA
Rfam family: Bacterial small subunit ribosomal RNA
Source: RNAcentral
CCUACGGGUGGCAGCAGUAGGGAAUAUUGCUCAAUGGGGGAAACCCUGAAGCAGCAAAGCCGCGUGGAGGAUGAAGGUUUUAGGAUUGUAAACUCCUUUUGUUAGAGAAGAUAAUGACGGUAUCUAACGAAUAAGCACCGGCUAACUCCGUGCCAGCAGCCGCGGUAAUACGGAGGGUGCAAGCGUUACUCGGAAUCACUGGGCGUAAAGAGCGCGUAGGCGGGAUAGCAAGUCAGAUGUGAAAUCCUAUGGGUUAACCAUAGAACUGCAGUUGAAACUGUUAUUCUAGAGUAUGGGAGAGGUAGGUGGAAUUCUUGGUGUAGGGGUAAAAUCCGUAGAGAUCAAGAGGAAUACUCAUUGCGAAGGCGACCUGCUAGAACAUAACUGACGCUGAUGCGCGAAAGCGUGGGUAGCAAACAGGAUUAGAUACCCCAGUAGUC